Molecule: ribosomal RNA, 1492 nt
Filed under: metagenome
Description: bacterial SSU rRNA
Rfam family: Bacterial small subunit ribosomal RNA
Source: RNAcentral
AGAGUUUGAUCCUGGCUCAGAUUGAACGCUGGCGGCAUGCCUUACACAUGCAAGUCGAACGGUAACGCGGGGGCAACCCUGGCGACGAGUGGCGAACGGGUGAGUAAUACAUCGGAACAUAUCCAGUAGCGGGGGAUAACCUAUCGAAAGAUGGACUAAUACCGCAUACGAUCUACGGAUGAAAGCAGGGGACCGCAAGGCCUUGCACUAUUGGAGUGGCCGAUGUCGGAUUAGCUAGUUGGUGGGGUAAAAGCUUACCAAGGCGACGAUCCGUAGCUGGUCUGAGAGGACGAUCAGCCACACUGGAACUGAGACACGGUCCAGACUCCUACGGGAGGCAGCAGUGGGGAAUUUUGGACAAUGGGCGCAAGCCUGAUCCAGCCAUGCCGCGUGAGUGAAGAAGGCCUUCGGGUUGUAAAGCUCUUUCGGUGAAGACGAAACGGUUCAUGCUAAUAACGUGAACUAAUGACGGUACUCACAGAAGAAGCACCGGCUAACUACGUGCCAGCAGCCGCGGUAAUACGUAGGGUGCAGGCGUUAAUCGGAAUUACUGGGCGUAAAGCGUGCGCAGGCGGUUUGCUAAGACAGGUGUGAAAUCCCCGGGCUUAACCUGGGAAUUGCGCUUGUAACUGGCAAGCUAGAGUGUGGCAGAGGGGGGUGGAAUUCCACGUGUAGCAGUGAAAUGCGUAGAUAUGUGGAGGAACACCGAUGGCGAAGGCAGCCCCCUGGGUUAACACUGACGCUCAUGCACGAAAGCGUGGGGAGCAAACAGGAUUAGAUACCCUGGUAGUCCACGCCCUAAACUAUGUCAACUAGUUGUCGGGGAAGAAAUUCCUUGGUAACGAAGCUAACGCGUGAAGUUGACCGCCUGGGAGUACGGCCGCAAGGUUAAAACUCAAAGGAAUUGACGGGGACCCGUACAAGCGGUGGAUUAUGUGGAUUAAUUCGAUGCAACGCGAAAAACCUUACCUACCCUUGACAUGCUAGGAAGCCCGCAGAGAUGUGGGUGUGCCCGAAAGGGAACCUAGACACAGGUGCUGCAUGGCUGUCGUCAGCUCGUGUCGUGAGAUGUUGGGUUAAGUCCCGCAACGAGCGCAACCCUUGCCAUUAGUUGCUACAUUCAGUUGGGCACUCUAAUGGGACCGCCGGUGACAAACCGGAGGAAGGUGGGGAUGACGUCAAGUCCUCAUGGCCCUUAUGGGUAGGGCUUCACACGUAAUACAAUGGUCGGUACAGAGGGCUGCCAACCCGCAAGGGGGAGCUAAUCCCAGAAAGCCGAUCGUAGUCCGGAUUGUAGUCUGCAACUCGACUGCAUGAAGCCGGAAUCGCUAGUAAUCGCGGAUCAGCAUGUCGCGGUGAAUACGUUCCCGGGUCUUGUACACACCGCCCGUCACACCAUGGGAGUGGGUUCCACCAGAAGUAGUUAGCCUAACCGCAAGGAGGGCGAUUACCACGGUGAGAUUCAUGACUGGGGUGAAGUCGUAACAAGGUA